Long non-coding RNA from Syngnathoides biaculeatus (alligator pipefish), 3347 nucleotides. RefSeq lists it as uncharacterized. NCBI's taxonomy places the organism in Eukaryota, Metazoa, Chordata, Actinopteri, Syngnathiformes, Syngnathidae. The transcript is spliced from 4 exons. The record is from RefSeq and is a predicted model, not a curated record.
AUUUCUGACAACAGCUACAAGAUCGCGAACCCAGUCACACAUAAACUGAUUGUACGCAUCCAUGCUCUUGUAAGCUUUCAGGUCAUCCAUGGUACAAAGACUUGGAAAAUAGUUCACAAUGUCAGGGCAAAGAUACCUUGGCAAAUCCUCCGAAGAAAAAAUAUGUUCAUCUUGAGAGUGCUAACACAAGUGGUUCUGGUACCCGCCCAACAUCCUUGGGGCAGAAUAAGACGGGUUUAGUAAAAGUGAUGACCACAAAAAUCUCCAGAACAUCUGAAGUGGAGGAUUGAGAAAGUGAUGCCAGUCCUGUCGGUAUUAUUAUGAGAACGGUAUUACGUUACGGUACAGAGAUAUUUUUCCAAGGCUCAGCGUGCCACGAUAACACCAAGUGUGCCAACAAACUAGCCAAACAGUUCGUCGAAUGGCCUGCCCCUCUCAAUUCUGUCGAAUGUGAUCCCAGCCAUUUGGAAAAGAGGGCGAAUAGUGCCUCUACCGAAACCUGGCAAGCCGCCAGACCAAGGCACGUCAUACCGCCCGAUCAUGCUACCAUUCCCGGUAGCAAAACUACUGGAAUCCUGCCUACAUUGGUGGAACACGUAUCGUUGGCCGAUCAUCAACGCGGAUUCAGGAAACAGUGCAGCACCAUCACUGCGCUCCAUCAAUUAACGAAGGCUAUCAUCAACGGCUUCAACUGCAAGAAACCAUGCAAAAGAACGGUGCUAGUGGCCCUUGAUCUAUCCAAGAAGUUUGACGUCGUCAACAUCGCCCAACUCACAAACGACCUUCUUGGCACCACACUGCCAAACAAACCGUAUCAAACGAUCGUUGUCAUCAUACCUAUGCGAACGCAUGCAUGCAGAUACGAAUGGGCGUGCCUCAGGGUGGUGUUCGAUUGUGCGCUCACCUUGUAUGCCAACAACAUCUCAAUCUACACGUCAGACAGCAAAAUCAAUGCCGCCUGUGAGUGUAUGAACACUAUACAUCAAUUCCUGGUCGAACGUGAACUCCGUCUGUCAGUCGAAAAAAGUAGUAGUAGUAAAAGUUACUCUGUUCACCACAUUCUAGAGUGAAUUUUGAACCUACCAAUCAAAAUCAAUAACGUGUUGGAAGGAGGGCCUUUUGGGGUCCUUCCGCGUGUUCGUCCAAUUCCAGGUUAGGUCAAUAACUGGACUCCAGAGGCGUGAAAUGUGAUAAACACUUCAAAGUUUAAUGAACAGAGCGCUCUGUGAGACACAAUGUGACACAGACAAAGGCUGUGGCCAGACACCGAGUGUGUGUGUGUGAAAGCAGAACAAAGAUUAUAUAUGCAAUGUUGGAACGCUGCCGUUGGUGGACAAGUCUGAAAACAGCAUCUAACUGAUUUGACUAGACACCCAAGGCCGUUGAGUCUGCUGAAAACACCUCCGUUCUGGCUGGUCACUCAAGGCCUAUGCCUGCGAAAAAAACAACUCAAUUUUGGCUAGUCACACAAGGCUGAAGCCUGCUGGAAAAACAACUCCAUUUAAGGCAGUUCCUGGAACCGGGUAUUAGAGCAGGUUGCAGUCCUAACAUAACCUUUCAGUCCCCCUUUUGGAUUCGACAGAGUACAACACAACAAAGCACGAAAAUUUGAUUUGGCAAAAAAAAUCCAAUUUGUACAAUCUGGUAAUGAAAGCAAUGACAAUAACCCAAUAGCGAAAUUUUAGCAUCCCCCUUUUGAGUUCGAAAGAACUCAACAACUUAACAGAUCAAUAAAGGUUGAUCGCCAGGAGUGGGGCAGCAUGUCAUGGUCCUGCCGGUCCAACCCUGACUGUGCGGGUACCCGCACAGCUGCACUGAUUGGGAGGCGCACACCUGCGCCUCAUCGGCAGGGAUUAACCCCUGUGUAUAUAUAGUGCCCAGCGGACGGUCUGGCUUGGCCAGAUUGUCGCCACCCAUGCCCUGUUCCUGCAGGCCCGUAUUCUUGAUCGUGUACCGACCUCUGCCUGUCCUCUGACCGACCCUGUAAGCUUGACGUCUUUGAUACUCCUGCUAUCUCUGAUCGAUCUCCCGUGUACCAACCCCUGCUUGCCAGCGGACCUGCUCUCUACACCUGACGUCUUAGUUACCGCUGCUCUCUUUGACUGUCUGCCUGAUCCCCGACAUUAGAACAAAUAAACACUUUUCCCAAACUGCCUGUACGUCUCCGGAGUCCUGCAUUUGGGUCCUCCUCCGUACCAAUGGGUCGUGACACUAUCCGCAUGUGUUGGAAGGGGAACAUUGCCUCCCCGUGUUGAGUAUUUGCUUAAGGUCAGCAGGGAAACGCGCUGAGGUCACAAUGGAGACGUCGGCAAGGGUGCAUCACCUCCCAGGUGUCGCUAGGUCACACUUUAAGUCACGCAUGCAGCUCACAGGGAGAACAAUUCAGAGUAAGACCAACAAACAAAUGCAUGAUAAAACAAUUAGAAUAAUAACUAAAAUAGUAAUAAAUUCUUUCAACCCCCUGUUUAUCAUGUACUUCCUCAAAUACUUUCUUCAUCCUAUAGCUUCUCCUAAAGAUUUUAAUUUACAAAAUCAGUUUUACUGUAAACAAAUACACAUACCCUGAGACAACAAUGUUUUAACUCAUAAUCUGGAUUUAGAAGCAAAUCGGACAAGAUUAAUAGAAAACCGUCAUCGUCACUGUCAUUCUUCAUCGUUAAAGCAUACAUCUCCGCCACAUGUUUCUUUGUGGAAAACAGUGUUAAUAAGUUGUACAAAUGAGAGCACAUGGACAAAAUACAACAGCAUCCACACAAGGUCAAGAUUUCUGGAAAACAGCAAUUGAUAUCAAAUUUGAGGACAACAGGGCUGUGCAUCUUCGAAAGGCAUUCAUCCAGGUCUCUCAUACAUGGAGGUGUCAAUAUCGGAAUGAGUCGGUCAGGAUUCGAAGCCCCUCGGUGGCAUGACUCCGUAGCUGUGUGUUGGCUUCACUGCGCAGCAUUGUUCUCCAAACAUAGCACAGAUUUCUCCUCUGUCACCCAACCUGUCAACAGCGACUCUGCUUUGGAAUGCCAUAAAUGAGCACAUAACUGUUCACACACAGUUCCAAACCCUCUCUGUGUCCAAUUGCCCAAUUCUUAUACAUUGUAAUGAAUGGAGUUGAUUCUGUCUACGUUUUUGAUGGUUUUACGCCAACAACCUAAGGACUCAAAUCUUGCUGCGAAUUGAUCAGCCAAUUUAUACUCACUUGGAACAUCAGUGGCGUUGAUGUAUGUUAAAACACUUGUCGUUCACAUAUUGCUGCUUUUUCUUCUCAGCUAGUGUUUGGUAAACUGCAUGUACAGUAGAUGUUAAUUCAUAAAAAGACAUAGGAUGAACAGACAAAUGGCAAUAAUCAAGUUAUUGAA